This 709-nucleotide ribosomal RNA is filed under the name Gironniera subaequalis. RNAcentral's name for it is "eukaryotic LSU rRNA". Lineage: Eukaryota; Viridiplantae; Streptophyta; Magnoliopsida; Rosales; Cannabaceae. The record is from RNAcentral.
AAGGUUUCCGUAGGUGAACCUGCGGAAGGAUCAUUGUCGAAACCUGCCCAGCAGAACGACCCGCGAACUCGUUAAAAAACUUGCGGGGGGCGGGCGAGGGGCACUCUUGCCUCGGACCCCCCCCUUUGAGGCUGGGGGCAGCCGCUACGGCUCACCCCGUCGGCUCCCUCAGCCGCACGAACGAACCCCCGGCGCGAUCUGCGCCAAGGAACAUAAACGAAUGAGCGUUCUCUUGUGGCCCCCCGGAGACGGUGGUCUGCCACACGAGAUGCGUGUUCUUCGAUAAGUCAAAACGACUCUCGGCAACGGAUAUCUCGGCUCUCGCAUCGAUGAAGAACGUAGCGAAAUGCGAUACUUGGUGUGAAUUGCAGAAUCCCGUGAACCAUCGAGUCUUUGAACGCAAGUUGCGCCCGAAGCCAUUAGGCCGAGGGCACGUCUGCCUGGGCGUCACACAUCGUUGCCCCCCCCACCCCCGCCCCGGUGGGAGUGCGGGGGGCAGAAGCUGGCCUCCCGUGWGCGCUUAGUCUCGCGGUUGGCCCAAAAUCGAGUGCUCGGCUGCGUGCCGCGCGGCAUUCGGUGGUUGUCGAUCGUUCGCUUCCCCGUCGCGCGCGCUCGUCUCGCCAAAGAGACUCCAACAUACCCCAACGUGCCGCGGGACGCGGUGCUUCCAACGCGACCCCAGGUCAGGCGGGGCUACCCGCUGAGUUUA